This 45-nucleotide non-coding RNA is filed under the name Schistosoma mattheei. Lineage: Eukaryota; Metazoa; Platyhelminthes; Trematoda; Strigeidida; Schistosomatidae. The record is from RNAcentral.
NUCCAGUUGACGAGUACCAAAUAGGACGAAACGCGCAUCCUGGAU